This 256-nucleotide ribosomal RNA is filed under the name uncultured bacterium. Its description in RNAcentral is "partial 16S ribosomal RNA". It matches the Rfam family "Bacterial small subunit ribosomal RNA", at positions 524 to 776 of the family's 1533-position model. The record is from RNAcentral.
GUCGUAGGUGGCGAACGUUAUCCGGAAUCAUUGGGCGUAAAGGGUGCGUAGAUGGCCUGAUAAGUUAGCAGUGGGAAAUCGAGGCUCAACCUCGUGGAAGCUGGUAAUACUGUUAGGCUAGAGUGCAGGAGAGGUUAACGGAACUCCAUGUGGAGCGGUAAAAUGUGUAGAUAUAUGGAAGAACAUCAAUAACGGCGAAGGCAGUUAACUAUUCUGUUACUGACGUUGAGGCACGAAAGCGUGGGGAGCAAAACGG